RNAcentral lists this long non-coding RNA (406 nucleotides) under Penaeus japonicus. RNAcentral describes it as "uncharacterized LOC122255068". Lineage: Eukaryota; Metazoa; Arthropoda; Malacostraca; Decapoda; Penaeidae. The record is from RNAcentral.
GCCAAGGAGGAGACAGUGUGCGCUGGACUUGCGAAGAGGGAGAACACGUCCUCUUUUCUCUCACGUCAUUUUAGCUCGAGGAACAGAACACAAGCCGCCGUUUCUUUCGUAAGCGGAGUAGCCGGACAUCGCGCAGAGGACAAACACAGAGAGAGAGAGAGAGAGAAAGAGAGAGAGAAAGAAAGAAAUAGAGAUAAAGAAGAAGAAGAAGAAGAAAAGAGCAACAGCACAAACCAAGAUGAAUGAGGACGAGAUACAGCUGGCUCAAGCCCUGGCCAAGAUGGGAGGCCCCAGGACCCCGACGGCGUUGCUGAAGGCGAAGGUGCAAGGCUUCAGGUGAGGACUUCCUCGGCAAUGUUGGGGGCUUGUGAGUACCAUGAUCGGCCAUCGUGCUCCACACGCCAAG